RNAcentral lists this ribosomal RNA (163 nucleotides) under Festuca bromoides. Its description in RNAcentral is "5.8S ribosomal RNA". It matches the Rfam family "5.8S ribosomal RNA". Rfam says of the family: 5.8S ribosomal RNA (5.8S rRNA) is a component of the large subunit of the eukaryotic ribosome. It is transcribed by RNA polymerase I as part of the 45S precursor that also contains 18S and 28S rRNA. Lineage: Eukaryota; Viridiplantae; Streptophyta; Magnoliopsida; Poales; Poaceae. The record is from RNAcentral.
ACACGACUCUCGGCAACGGAUAUCUCGGCUCUUGCAUCGAUGAAGAACGUAGCGAAAUGCGAUACCUGGUGUGAAUUGCAGAAUCCCGCGAACCAUCGAGUCUUUGAACGCAAGUUGCGCCCGAGGCCUUUUGGCCGAGGGCACGCCUGCCUGGGCGUCACGC